This 262-nucleotide long non-coding RNA is filed under the name Drosophila guanche. The record is from RNAcentral. Lineage: Eukaryota; Metazoa; Arthropoda; Insecta; Diptera; Drosophilidae.
GUCCUGCAAUAUUUCCAUUUUUCGUGUGACUUGCUCGGGAAUUUCCAUCAUGCUUACCAGAAGUGAUCUGUAUGCGAUGUAUGCAUGAAUAUAAAGGUUCACUGCCUUUAUAAAACAAACAAAACUGUAUCCUUUUGGUGUUUAGAUUAGGGUUUCUCACUGAACGUAUUGGAUCUAUUAUAGCUCCUCUAGCAUUCCGGAAAAGGAAGCACGCCCUAACGUAGUGAAACUAAAUAUAAUUCAUCUGGAUUUUAAUUUAAAU